Pimephales promelas (fathead minnow) is the source of this 686-nucleotide long non-coding RNA. RefSeq lists it as uncharacterized. NCBI's taxonomy places the organism in Eukaryota, Metazoa, Chordata, Actinopteri, Cypriniformes, Leuciscidae. The record is from RefSeq and is a predicted model, not a curated record.
GGACGGACGUUUUCCCCCACAUACACCGACGGUACUAUUUAUGCAUCAACUUCAGACAGAAAACCAACUUCUACAUCACAUUGGACAUUUGAUCAAUUGCGUCGCCAGCCCCAGCAAUGAUGGAGAUCAGGUUCUAUUGCACAACCUCAAUUUUGCAACACUUCACUUGAUCUGAAAUCUUGUAAAUCACUGUGAACAACAGAUAUUGGAGUAGCCGUGUCAAUCAACGCAAACACAGCCACCAUUAAAAACGUCACCAAUUGAAACUUAAGUAAUACAACACCAUGAAUGAAUAAUGAACUCAGUCAGAAGAGCAAAGAGGAUGUCUGACGACUGCAACCACAGAGAACAGAGAUCCACACCUCACCCAACAUUUAUGCAGCAACGUCAUCAGCGACCCAAAGCGAUUAUGUCACUAGAACACACGGAAUGUUUUCUAUCUUCACGGAAUGUUUUCUUUCUUCACGGAAUGUCUUCUAAGAAAAUCCGCCACACCACUUUAAGCAUUGCAAAAGUCAGCAUGAAACGGAAGUUGUGAUAUUUUUUUCCCCUAUUGUGACAUGUGCCAGAGUAUGGAAUCUUGGGUCGGCCACAGAAUAAAUCAUAAGAAAGGCAUCUCUCGAUUCUGCCCUUUUUUUUUUAGAAUUGCGUGAUAUAAGCACAAUUGCAAGUUAUAAAUUCAGUAA